GCAUGAAAACAGUAACUUCUAUUAAAAAUAAGGAUAUUUCCAUGUUUAACCUUAUUAUCGAUGUUUAUUAAAAUUGGAUAUGAAAAAGGUGCACAAUGACAGAUGACGUAGGUUGUGCCCCUUUUUAUCGCCCGGUGCAAUGCAUGGGCAUUCUUACUAGUAAUAAUUACAUGUAGGCCUAUUUUUGAAUGCCUAUUUUUCAAUUGUUUUGGGAAUUAGACUAAGGAGUAAUGAUUGUUAUUGGCUUGUUGCAGAUCGAAGAUGCCAAGAAGACAACUAAUGUGCCAGGAGGUGAAGGUACUAACAGAAGUUGCCUCAACUUGUUGAAGCUUUAGAUUUUUGUUUCCUCUUUAAAUAGAUGGUAACCUCAGCUUCAUCCUCAAUGGCUCAUGAUAUUGUAGUAUCUCUUCAUCUAAUUUAUACAUUACAAGUAAACUGAAUGUGUCAAGACAAUGCACAAAAGAGGUGCAACAUAACUAAAUAAGGCCCAGCCAUGUUUCCUCUAUAACAUCUAAUAGUUCAGUACAAUAUACUAUUGCCAGUUCUUAAAUAUUAUUACAACCUACAACUCUUAAUACAUGACAAGCCCAUUUCUUUAUAAACUACUAUUGCAUGUUCUUAAAUAUGACAAGCUACAGCUACUACUAUGAGUUGUUAAUAUAUAACACUGCUGAUCAGGAAUCCUAUCUUAUGGUAUUUAUUGCCAAGUUUGUACGCAUCAUCUUAUCCUUUAUAAUCUUUUGCAGACUCACAGAGCUGCCAUGUUAGCUUAUUAACUUGCCACUAGUCUGAACUUUUGACCUACAGAAUGGAAUAUUGUAAUUCUGAUGGUGUCAUGCGGCUCAAUUAAGAAACGAUUCUACGGAGACAUAUUGAUAAUCCACAUCCUGAUCUUGGUCAAAUAUGUUACAAACUUGAAAAUAGCCACAUCCUAAUUCUGCAUCCUUUCACCUUGUAGUAGUUUUGUUUGUUUGUUGUCAUACCUAGCUUAUUUUUGAGAAUGUGUACCACUCAUCUUAAGCAUUUCUGUAGCAUAUAUGCACAAGUAGAUUUUCUGGGAAUGCUCUUGCUAAUAAUUCUGGGACAUGAAAUCAAAAUGAACUCAAGUCUGUUGAUCAAAUGAUGUUGACAAAAAUAGCAGAACAUUGUUUCCUGUUGUGAUUGAUUCCUGUUGAGAAGGAAGCCCGCACCACUACACUUCACCGCAUAGGAACAAAUAUAUUUGUGUGUAUUCAUGGUCAUAUAACAAUGUUACUCUUGCAUGAACAAUCAAGUGUAAGCUAGCAUGUGCUGCUCUAGCCUAACAAUCUUCAUAUGAGCUUUGAACAACUUUUGGAUUGAUUGGACUUUCUGACAAAUUCAUAUGGAAUAUUUUCAGGUACUUAGCCACCUAGCAUUGGAUGUGAGGAGGACUUUGAGUGUCAUGGAACAUACAUGGCUGUUAGUAGUAUUUUCGACCAACCAACUUCAAUCAUUUCUUGAAUCUUAUGUGUGUUCUAGACCAUUUGGUGCUUCAAGUGUUUUGGAGUAGAAACUUUGUGCUCAGGUAUGUGAUUUGUGUGUUUUGGACCAUUGUUUGAAUUAGUUGAGACUAGCAAUUAGUGGCCCUUUUUAGGUGACUUGUGUGUUUUGGAUGGUCAAACUAUGCUUGUGAACCUGUGUGAAUAUAUAUUUAUGUAUGUUUGCGAACCUAUCAUCGUUGUCGUCCAAUAUGUGUUCAUCUUGAUGCUGUUUGUGGAUCACAUUUAGUAUAUGUAUCAAAUCAUUGGUUUGGCUGUACACUACCUUUCCAACAAUUUAUCUGUUG
RNAcentral lists this long non-coding RNA (1807 nucleotides) under Triticum aestivum (bread wheat). RNAcentral's name for it is "long non-coding RNA (TAES_LNC027542)". Lineage: Eukaryota; Viridiplantae; Streptophyta; Magnoliopsida; Poales; Poaceae. The record is from RNAcentral.